AGAGUUUGAUCAUGGCUCAGGACGAACGCUGGCGGCGUGCUUAACACAUGCAAGUCGAACGAUGACGACCGAGCUUGCUCGGUCUGAUUAGUGGCGAACGGGUGAGUAACACGUGAGCAACCUGCCCUUCACUCUGGGAUAACCUCGGGAAAUCGGGGCUAAUACCGGAUAUGAGCUCCUGUCGCAUGGCGGGUGUUGGAAAGUUUUUCGGUGAAGGAUGGGCUCGCGGCCUAUCAGUUUGUUGGUGAGGUAGUGGCUCACCAAGGCGAUGACGGGUAGCCGGCCUGAGAGGGCGACCGGCCACACUGGGACUGAGACACGGCCCAGACUCCUACGGGAGGCAGCAGUGGGGAAUAUUGCACAAUGGGCGAAAGCCUGAUGCAGCGACGCCGCGUGAGGGAUGACGGCCUUCGGGUUGUAAACCUCUUUCAGCAGGGAAGAAGCGAAAGUGACGGUACCUGCAGAAGAAGCGCCGGCUAACUACGUGCCAGCAGCCGCGGUAAUACGUAGGGCGCAAGCGUUGUCCGGAAUUAUUGGGCGUAAAGAGCUUGUAGGUGGCUUGUCGCGUCUGCCGUGAAAACCCGAGGCUCAACCUCGGGCGUGCGGUGGGUACGGGCAGGCUAGAGUGUGGUAGGGGAGACUGGAACUCCUGGUGUAGCGGUGAAAUGCGCAGAUAUCAGGAAGAACACCGAUGGCGAAGGCAGGUCUCUGGGCCAUUACUGACACUGAGAAGCGAAAGCAUGGGGAGCGAACAGGAUUAGAUACCCUGGUAGUCCAUGCCGUAAACGUUGGGCACUAGAUGUGGGGAACAUUCCACGUUUUCCGCGUCGUAGCUAACGCAUUAAGUGCCCCGCCUGGGGAGUACGGCCGCAAGGCUAAAACUCAAA
RNAcentral lists this ribosomal RNA (887 nucleotides) under Brachybacterium rhamnosum. RNAcentral describes it as "bacterial SSU rRNA". It matches the Rfam family "Bacterial small subunit ribosomal RNA", at positions 8 to 905 of the family's 1533-position model. The record is from RNAcentral. Lineage: Bacteria; Bacillati; Actinomycetota; Actinomycetes; Micrococcales; Dermabacteraceae.